GUGCUUGUGUUGGCCGCACAUACACUGACGCUGGAAAGAUACAGAGAAUAGCAUGGCACCUGCCCAAGGAUGACACACAAAUUUGUGAAGUAUUCCUUAUUUUU
Molecule: small nuclear RNA, 104 nt
Organism: Phyllostomus hastatus (greater spear-nosed bat)
Lineage: Eukaryota; Metazoa; Chordata; Mammalia; Chiroptera; Phyllostomidae
Source: RefSeq, a predicted model, not a curated record